CAGUCGCCGCGGUAAUACGGAGGGAGCUAGCGUUGUUCGGAAUUACUGGGCGUAAAGCGUGCGUAGGUGGUGGUUUAAGUCCGUUGUGAAAGCCCUGGGCUCAACCUGGGAAUUGCAGUGGAUACUGGGUCACUAGAGUGUGGUAGAGGAUAGUGGAAUUUCCGGUGUAGCAGUGAAAUGCGUAGAGAUCGGAAGGAACAUCUGUGGCGAAGGCGACUAUCUGGGCCAACACUGACACUGAGGCACGAAAGCGUGGGGAGCAAACAGGAUUAGAUACCCCUGUAGUCCCUGUCUCUUAUAC
RNAcentral lists this ribosomal RNA (301 nucleotides) under uncultured bacterium. Its description in RNAcentral is "partial 16S ribosomal RNA". It matches the Rfam family "Bacterial small subunit ribosomal RNA", at positions 509 to 807 of the family's 1533-position model. The record is from RNAcentral.